RNAcentral lists this small nuclear RNA (125 nucleotides) under Chinchilla lanigera (long-tailed chinchilla). RNAcentral's name for it is "U4 spliceosomal RNA (ENSCLAG00000020802.1)". The stretch from base 1 to 86 matches the Rfam family "U4 spliceosomal RNA". Rfam says of the family: U4 small nuclear RNA (U4 snRNA) is a component of the major U2-dependent spliceosome. The structure of U4 snRNA from yeast and human has been reported. U4 snRNA presents a k-turn RNA motif in the 5p-SL related to recognition of Snu13 protein. The record is from RNAcentral. Lineage: Eukaryota; Metazoa; Chordata; Mammalia; Rodentia; Chinchillidae.
AGCUUUGCGCAGUGGCAGUAUCCUAGCCAAUGAGGUUUAUCCGAGGCGCGAUUAUUGCUAAUUGAAAACAUUUGGUUCUCAAAAGCUAGAAGAAAGAAUUGGCAACACAGGCAGAGUUGGGUGUG